AACGAACGCUGGCGGCAUGCCUAACACAUGCAAGUCGAACGAUCCCUUCGGGGGUAGUGGCGCACGGGUGCGUAACGCGUGGGAACCUGCCCUUAGGUUCGGAAUAACUCAGAGAAAUUUGAGCUAAUACCGGAUAAUGUCUUCGGACCAAAGAUUUAUCGCCUUUGGAUGGGCCCGCGUUGGAUUAGCUAGUGGGUGGGGUAAAGGCCUACCAAGGCGACGAUCCAUAGCUGGUCUGAGAGGAUGAUCAGCCACACUGGGACUGAGACACGGCCCAGACUCCUACGGGAGGCAGCAGUGGGGAAUAUUGGACAACGGGCGAAAGCCUGAUCCAGCAAUGCCGCGUGAGUGAUGAAGGCCUUAGGGUUGUAAAGCUCUUUUACCCGGGAUGAUAAUGACAGUACCGGGAGAAUAAGCCCCGGCUAACUCCGUG
RNAcentral lists this ribosomal RNA (433 nucleotides) under uncultured bacterium. RNAcentral describes it as "partial 16S ribosomal RNA". It matches the Rfam family "Bacterial small subunit ribosomal RNA", at positions 29 to 507 of the family's 1533-position model. The record is from RNAcentral.